GGAGAAGUACCCAAGUGGUCGUAAGGGGAUGCACUCGAAAUGCAUUAGGGGUUAACGCCCGCGUGGGUUCGAAUCCCACCUUCUCCGCCA
RNAcentral lists this transfer RNA (90 nucleotides) under Salinibacillus xinjiangensis. RNAcentral describes it as "tRNA-Ser". It matches the Rfam family "tRNA". Rfam says of the family: Transfer RNA (tRNA) molecules are approximately 80 nucleotides in length. Their secondary structure includes four short double-helical elements and three loops (D, anti-codon, and T loops). Further hydrogen bonds mediate the characteristic L-shaped molecular structure. tRNAs have two regions of fundamental functional importance: the anti-codon, which is responsible for specific mRNA codon recognition, and the 3' end, to which the tRNAs corresponding amino acid is attached (by aminoacyl-tRNA synthetases). tRNAs cope with the degeneracy of the genetic code in two manners: having more than one tRNA (with a specific anti-codon) for a particular amino acid; and 'wobble' base-pairing, i.e. permitting non-standard base-pairing at the 3rd anti-codon position. The record is from RNAcentral. Lineage: Bacteria; Bacillati; Bacillota; Bacilli; Caryophanales; Bacillaceae.